GACGAACGCUGGCGGCGUGCUUAACACAUGCGAGUCGAACGGAAAGGCCCUGCUUUUGUGGGGUGCUCAAGUGGCGAACGGGUGAGUAACACGUGAGUAACCUGCCCUUGACUUUGGGAUAACUUCAGGAAACUGGGGCUAAUACCGGAUAGGAGCUCCUGCUGCAUGGUGGGGGUUGGAAAGUUUCGGCGGUUGGGGAUGGACUCGCGGCUUAUCAGCUUGUUGGUGGGGUAGUGGCUUACCAAGGCUUUGACGGGUAGCCGGCCUGAGAGGGUGACCGGCCACAUUGGGACUGAGAUACGGCCCAGACUCCUACGGGAGGCAGCAGUGGGGAAUAUUGCACAAUGGGCGGAAGCCUGAUGCAGCAACGCCGCGUGCGGGAUGACGGCCUUCGGGUUGUAAACCGCUUUCGCCUGUGACGAAGCGUGAGUGACGGUAAUGGGUAAAGAAGCACCGGCUAGCUACGUG
RNAcentral lists this ribosomal RNA (468 nucleotides) under uncultured bacterium. RNAcentral's name for it is "partial 16S ribosomal RNA". It matches the Rfam family "Bacterial small subunit ribosomal RNA", at positions 28 to 507 of the family's 1533-position model. The record is from RNAcentral.